GGGUGACGAGCGGCGGACGGGUGAGUAAUGUCUGGGAAACUGCCUGAUGGAGGGGGAUAACUACUGGAAACGGUAGCUAAUACCGCAUAACGUCGCAAGACCAAAGAGGGGGACCUUCGGGCCUCUUGCCAUCAGAUGUGCCCAGAUGGGAUUAGCUAGUAGGUGGGGUAAUGGCUCACCUAGGCGACGAUCCCUAGCUGGUCUGAGAGGAUGACCAGCCACACUGGAACUGAGACACGGUCCAGACUCCUACGGGAGGCAGCAGUGGGGAAUAUUGCACAAUGGGCGCAAGCCUGAUGCAGCCAUGCCGCGUGUAUGAAGAAGGCCUUCGGGUUGUAAAGUACUUUCAGCGAGGAGGAAGGCAUUGUGGUUAAUAACCACAGUGAUUGACGUUACUCGCAGAAGAAGCACCGGCUAACUCCGUGCCAGCAGCCGCGGUAAUACGGAGGGUGCAAGCGUUAAUCGGAAUUACUGGGCGUAAAGCGCACGCAGGCGGUCUGUCAAGUCGGAUGUGAAAUCCCCGGGCUCAACCUGGGAACUGCAUUCGAAACUGGCAGGCUAGAGUCUUGUAGAGGGGGGUAGAAUUCCAGGUGUAGCGGUGAAAUGCGUAGAGAUC
This 616-nucleotide ribosomal RNA is filed under the name Enterobacter sp. EECC-696. Its description in RNAcentral is "bacterial SSU rRNA". It matches the Rfam family "Bacterial small subunit ribosomal RNA", at positions 86 to 698 of the family's 1533-position model. The record is from RNAcentral. Lineage: Bacteria; Pseudomonadati; Pseudomonadota; Gammaproteobacteria; Enterobacterales; Enterobacteriaceae.